RNAcentral lists this ribosomal RNA (392 nucleotides) under uncultured bacterium. Its description in RNAcentral is "partial 16S ribosomal RNA". It matches the Rfam family "Bacterial small subunit ribosomal RNA", at positions 523 to 918 of the family's 1533-position model. The record is from RNAcentral.
AUACGGAGGAUCCGAGCGUUAUCCGGAUUUAUUGGGUUUAAAGGGUGCGCAGGCGGCCAUUUAAGUCAGCGGUUAAAUCGUGGGGCUCAACCCCAUUCUGCCGUUGAUACUGGGUGGCUUGAUUGCGGUCGAGGUUGGCGGAAUUCGUUGUGUAACGGUGAAAUGCAUAGAUAUGACGAAGAACACCGAUUGCGUAGGCAGCUGACCAGACCGCAAAUGACGCUCAUGCACGAAAGUGCGGGGAUCGAACAGGAUUAGAUACCCUGGUAGUCCGCACAGUAAACGAUGAAUACUUGUUUUCGGCGAUAUAAUGUCGGAGGCAAAGCGAAAGCGAUAAGUAUUCCACCUGGGGAGUACGCCGGCAACGGUGAAACUCAAAGGAAUUGACGGGG